CACUCUUCUUGACCAGGCUGGAGAGUAAUGGCUCAAUCUUGGCUCACUGCAACCUCUGUCUCCCAGAUUCAAGUGAUUCUCCUGCCUCAGCCUCCUAAGUAGCUGGAUUACAGGCAUGUGCUACCACACCUGGCUAAUUUUGCAUUUUCAGUAGAGACAGGGUUUCCAGAUAUUGUUCAAGCUGCUCUUGAACUCCCAAUCUCAGGUGAUCCACUCGCCUAAUCUUUAUUCAGACUUUAUGUCUAAUGGACUGUUUUUUUUUGUUUGUUUUUAAGAGAUGGGUUCUUGCUACAUUGUUCAGGCUGCUGUGGAACUCCUGGGCUCAAGAGAUCCUCCCAACUCAGUCUCCAGAGUAGCUGGGACCAAAGCAAUGGUAAAGUGCCAAGAAGAAGCAAAGGAAUGGAAAGAGACUUGUCGGGGAGGACAAAGUUACAGUUACAUAGCAGAAGUAAGUAUUGGUGUACCAUUGAAUAGCAUGAUGGCUAGAGUUAACGACAAUGUAUCUUAUAUUUCAAAAUAGCUAGAAGAGAGGUUUUUUAAUGUUGUCAUCACAAAGAAAUGCUAAAUGUUUAAGGUGAUGAAUAUGCUAAUUGCCCUGAUUUAACAAUUAUAUACUUUAUAUAUGUAUUAAAAUGUCAUGUUGCACUCUAUAAAUAUAUAUAAUUAUUAUGUCAAUCUUGCACUCAAAAAAUUACCUAAGCUUUUUGUUUUUCUUAUGUUACUAAGACAAAGUAAUGUUUGAGAAAUAUAGAAGUCUAUUAGGCUAUUUUCCAUCAGAUAGUCACAUAUCCUUAGAGCCUUGAUACCUAAUAGACAUUUGUUUUUUUUCUCCAUGUAAAUAAAGCUUGAUUUAUUUGCUAAGUUUAUCCUGCUAAAACAAUCUCUAUGUGAAUUCUGUAAAACACAGAAAUGGUAAACUGAGAGUCUCAUGUUUGCAUGUAGUUUGGUAUUUUGGCAUAUGACUUGUAAUAUGAUUGGAACAUACAAGCAAUAUAUCAAAGUUCUUCGCAGAAGAAUGGUAGGGGGUAGAUUCUUGAACACAGAACCCAAAGAUUCAGCUCAAUGCACACUGGCAACUGAGAAACAACUGUACAGUAUAUGACACUGUAAAUUGCUGUUAAAGCAAUGUUUUUGGUCAACUUGAAAAAAAUUUGUGAGAAUUUUCUAAUGAUUACUUUUUUCUGUUACACACUGACAACAUUUUCAUAAACUAUUUACAAUUUUAAAUAAAAAUGGUAGAAACAAAUUGUUUUUUUCCAUAAUAAAAUUCACAAAAUAUUUUCUGUUGCUGAGUAUAAGUUGCUUGGUCAUAUCAAUUCACAAAUACCUUGAAAAUGAUCGUAUCUUUAUGUUUGCAUUUUUUGUUUUUAUGUUCACAGUUCAAAUGAAAGGUUUGAUUAUUCUUUAGUAAGUGAUACACUUGAAAUAGAGCUCAAGGAUCUGAACUGCUCACAAUUCAUGUACUUUAAAAAUAAAUUCCAAAUAAGCUAUUAUUGAUA
RNAcentral lists this long non-coding RNA (1499 nucleotides) under Callithrix jacchus (white-tufted-ear marmoset). RNAcentral describes it as "lncRNA (ENSCJAG00000070370.1)". Lineage: Eukaryota; Metazoa; Chordata; Mammalia; Primates; Cebidae. The record is from RNAcentral.